GACGAACGCUGGCGGCGUGCCUAAUACAUGCAAGUCGAGCGAAUCUUGAGGUGCUUGCACCUCUUGGUUAGCGGCGGACGGGUGAGUAACACGUGGGCAACCUGCCUGUAAGACUGGGAUAACACCGGGAAACCGGUGCUAAUACCGGAUAUCUCUUUUCCCCUCAUGGGGAGAAGCUGAAAGUCGGUUCACGCUGACACUUACAGAUGGGCCCGCGGCGCAUUAGCUAGUUGGUGAGGUAACGGCUCACCAAGGCGACGAUGCGUAGCCGACCUGAGAGGGUGAUCGGCCACACUGGGACUGAGACACGGCCCAGACUCCUACGGGAGGCUG
Molecule: ribosomal RNA, 333 nt
Filed under: uncultured Bacillota bacterium
Lineage: Bacteria; Bacillati; Bacillota
Description: bacterial SSU rRNA
Rfam family: Bacterial small subunit ribosomal RNA
Source: RNAcentral